Nothobranchius furzeri (turquoise killifish) is the source of this 3655-nucleotide long non-coding RNA. RefSeq lists it as uncharacterized. The record is from RefSeq and is a predicted model, not a curated record. Lineage: Eukaryota; Metazoa; Chordata; Actinopteri; Cyprinodontiformes; Nothobranchiidae.
CUGAAAACAUGCAGCAUCUUGGUUUUUUCCUUCAGUCACCAUGUAAAUAGCCUCAAUCUGAGCAACACAGGUGAAAUGGUUUUGCAGUUGGGAGAUGUGGAGCCUUUCCAGGGAGGUUUGCAUGAGCAACAGCUAAAGUUGAGGAGACCCUUUUGAUCACAUGUGUUAGCGAUGUAUUUUGCUCCUUUCAGCUAUGCAAUAAACUGGACAAAAGCAAACAAAAAACAAAUGUACGCAAAACAAACAAACAAAAAAAAAGAUUUCAAAUUGAAGCUACUAAAAUUUUCUCAAAAUUACCAAAUUAAAAGCCCUAAGACAUAUGUGCAAUUAGUCCAAAAUACAUUCACACUUUUUAAUUCUAGCCUAGAAUAAUUGCUUUGGAAGGAAGAAGACAUUUACUGUAAAUGAAAUGUAUGCAACUUGAAACCAAGACAUAUACAAGUCAAAAAGGUCCUCUUAGUUUUUUUGGGGGUGAACUUUGCGUCUGGCCUUUUUAUAUUCAGUGAUUACACAUAACUAUGAUUUAGUUAAAGUUUUUUUUCUCUGCAAAAACUGAGAGCAUGUUCAGAAGAACAUGUCCUUAUGUUUGCCCUUUAAAGGUCUAAAACUCUCUCUGUGGCAGGGAUUUCUAUUUUAGGCUCCAACAUUAUCCUAAUGAGCACAGGUCCUACAGCCAAAUUAUUAUUAUUAUUACAUUGUUUACAACAGGCAUAAAAGUUGACUUUGCCUCAGAAUAACAAAAUCAUGCCCGCCAUUGGUCAGCGGGUUAUGCAAGCCAAGCAGCUGUUAUAUAAAUCCAGUCAGUGCUGGUUACACCAGGCUCAACAAAAGGUCAUGAGUAGACCCACUCAUACCUUGAUCUGAAUGGAAUCAGAAACCAUCAUGAGAUCUAAGGCUGCAUCACUUAGACGUAAAACUCAGAGGUUUAAGGCUUUAACCUCGUUGCAGCAGAUAUCUUGAUAAUGCUGGAUUUAGACUCUGAACGUCUGUUGGCUUGAUCUGCACAGAUUGAACAUCCAUUACAUUACUGUUUCCGGAAUGUUGGAUCUCCCUAUAUUUUCCUUUUAACCUUUGCCUGUGUCUAAGAGAAGCCAUGACCCCCAUCUCUGACCCACACACACACAUUAAAAAUUAAUUACAAACUUUUUACAGACAUACUAUUUGGUGUGUUAUUGGGGAUUCGAAAAAGUAUUUUUUUUAAAAUACUAUCUUGGUAACCUUGGCUUGCUUUUAGCACCUCCUAGUGUUCAGUUAAGGAAACCAAAGACGUAUCUCCUGGCUGUGCGUUAGUCCUUCUAACACCUUAAUCUAACAGCUGAAAUAUCUCCCCAGUCUUCAUUAGUGUCUACAGGAGCGAUUCAACACUAAAUCAAAUAAAUCAGUUGUGUUCAUGAUCUAAACCAUGGAAACGUGCUAGAACAAGACUCUAGCAGCUGCUGAUAGGGAUGAAUGAACAGGAGUGAAAAUCUAAAUAACAGGAAUUUCUUUACACCUUUUCUUUAUCAUCAAAACACUGAACAAUGAUGACUAUAGCCCAUGUCGGUCAUGUGAUCCGGUUUUCAUGGCAUGCAGAAAUCCGUGGGGAGGCAUGCGGUUUGAACUCAUUCCAGUAACCAUCAGCUUAACAUCUGUGCAUUUUACUGCACAUGUGUCUGCAUGUGCAUGCAUUCUGCACAUACAUCAGCAUCUGUGAGCGGCUUCAUUAUUCUGCUGUUUCUUCGUGGAUUAAUCAUUCGUUAAGCUCCUCAUGUUGGUUAUUUUGUUUUUGGCCUGCGUGAAAUCCGAGGAGGAUUGCUCAGGAGCUUAUAUAUUUGAUUACUGUGGAUAAUCAUUUAAUAUAACACCAAGUUCAGGUGCAGGAGUCCAAAACAGAGUGCAAAUGAAAAGAAAUGAGAAUGCCAAACACAGGAACUGGAAAACAAUUGCUUUUAAAGAAAUAGAACAUUGGGAAGUGAAAAUAAAAUAAAAACAUUAUUUUUAUUGCUAGUUUUUAUUCUUGCCAGCAGAAUUAAAAUGCACAAACAAUAAUGGGCAGAAAAUAAAUAAUUUUGAAAGAAAACUUGAAUGAGUUUUGUUUAAUUUUUUUAUGUAACUUAUUUAAAGCUGUCCUAUUUAAAAUAAACCUCUGAAACGUCACAUUCUUUUAGAUCACAUGGUAACAACAGCAUGGGUGGGGUGGGUGGUGGAGCUUUUAGUUAGAUAUUAAAAAUAGUAAAAAAAUACUAAACAUUCCAGGGUUUAAUGAAAAACAUAAAAAGUGUUUUGAUCCUAUUUUUUUACAUGUGUGCUUUUACAUCAAUCUAAUUGGUCUCAAAUAGAUUUUUUCCCACUAAUUAUUCUUGGAUAUCUGCUAAAAAUACCAGAAGAAUUUACAGACUGGAAAACAAAAAUCUUUGUUUGAGGCUCAGGGGACCACAGCUCAUCACCGCUUGCUCCCACCCUGUUGGGUCGUCAAAUUAGAAGCAACUCUAAACACAGAAGAAAUCUCCAAGUCCCUGUUACAGACCUGCAGAGUUUUUCAAAGUGUCUUCAUGCUGCUACUGGAUAAUCACUGUGCCUCUGUACCACUCAACUCUGAGACCCAGAGUGCUCAGCUAUGAGGUCAUCAUCACAAACAUUAAGAGAAGACAGGAUUUUCACAUGGAGUUAAAACAAUUAAAAACACAAACAUGCACUGAUUUCAUUUGGUUCCAGAACAAGAGAAAGUUUGCAUUACCAAUUUCUUCUGGGAUAAAUGACUGAGUGUUGCAGAGGAUCGAAAGCACAUCAACCAGGAUGGGAAGUGAAACAGCAGAGGAUGCAUUUGGUCAAGACAACUAAGGAAAUUGUAUAUUUUUUUGUUUUACAUAUUUAAAGACAAUCAUCUUCUUCCCUUUGUAAAUAACCUGCACCAGGAUUUUCAACGAUAAGCUGGAGACAAAUAAAGUUCUGAGGACAAUGUCACCCAGACAAGACUCAUGUACAUCAGAAUUUCAGCUUUUUUCCUUUAAUUGGGGGAAAAAAACGUAAUAAUUCCAUAUUAAUAUGUGUUUGUGAUUUAUGCUUUCAUUCAAUAAUACUUUAUAUUCAUGAUAAUGCUUUACAUUUCUACAUUCUUUUCCUCAAAACUAAAAAUUUCUGUUUCACCUGAAUGACUUGCAUACAUGAAAUGUUUUUUUCUUUUCUAAAAUGAGUUGGCAAACUCUUCAACCAACCACUGGAACACAAAUAAAAAAAAAUCUCCGAAUAAAGUCACGUCUCUUCUCUGGAGUGACAGUAGUUCUGUUUCCGUGUUUGCAGAACCACACGCUGCUGUGUAUCAUAAAAGCAACACAUUCGUUUUCAUUUCCUGUAGAUUGACAAUUACACAAUGAUAAAAUGUGGUGCUGCAUGGAAACAGAACCAUGUGACGGUGAACACAAAAGCACAGUGUGGCUGUUAAGAGAAUUACAACUCAAUUUCAAACAUUUAGCAUACACAUACAUUGCUUUCAUUCUCGAUUUGUUUUUUUAUUCAUGUGCAGAAAAUUGUUUUAACCCUAUUUUUGCCUUUACAGCUAUGCAACUGUGUGCUAUGUAAAAUUAGCUCCUUUUACUCAACAACAUGAGUAAAAAUAGAAACUUGAUAUUGCAUUUGUGUAUUAGUAUUUUUCUACAUAAUAAAAAAGUGAAAUUAA